GUGCUCGCUUCAGCAGCACAUAUACUAAAACUGGAACGAUACAGAAAAGAUUAGCGCGGCCCCUGUACAAGGAUGACACGCGAAUUUGUGAAGCAUUCCAUAUUUUU
Molecule: small nuclear RNA, 107 nt
Filed under: Catagonus wagneri (Chacoan peccary)
Lineage: Eukaryota; Metazoa; Chordata; Mammalia; Artiodactyla; Tayassuidae
Source: RNAcentral